AUCCAGCUGACCAGUUCCAAACAGGACGAAACGCGCGUCCUGGAU
This is a non-coding RNA of Schistosoma haematobium, 45 nucleotides long. Lineage: Eukaryota; Metazoa; Platyhelminthes; Trematoda; Strigeidida; Schistosomatidae. The record is from Rfam.